AAAGAGAUCUGAUUAAUAAAAGGUUGUCAGUAGAAGAAUUUUUAUUGAUGUUUACUAAAACUAUUAAUAUCGAAGGAAUGGAACAAACAAUAUCAUUUGAAGUGAUGUUUUACAACCUGCAGAUAUAGAGUUGUUCACAGAAAUAUUACACGAGACAUACCAAAUAGAAAAGCAAACUAACAUUAGACGCAGAAGAUCUCGACACGUUAAUACAAAUUUAUCUAGUCGAAUAGAAGAAAGACAUAUAUCUAGAAGAGAUACAGAAGAUAUAGAAAAUGAUUUCGAUGUACAGAGAAUAACAGUAACGCCUGCAGUAAUAGAAAUGACACAAGAUGGAGAAAAUGAUUCCGAUGUACAGAGAAUAAUAGUAACGCCUGCAAUAAUAGAAAUGACACAAGAUGGAGAAAAUUCUUUCAAUACACAGGGAACACUUACAUCUGAAAUAAUAGGAAAUACACAAACAACGCAACAUGAACCUCAAUCAAUAGCUGUCAUUUUUAACUUGGAAACCGGAAUCUCUCAAACGACGCAACAUGAACCUCAAUCAAUAAAUAUUACUUCUAAUUUCGA
Long non-coding RNA from Trachymyrmex cornetzi, 570 nucleotides. RefSeq lists it as uncharacterized. NCBI's taxonomy places the organism in Eukaryota, Metazoa, Arthropoda, Insecta, Hymenoptera, Formicidae. The transcript has 5 exons. The record is from RefSeq and is a predicted model, not a curated record.